AGAGUUUGAUCCUGGCUCAGGAUGAACGCUAGCUACAGGCUUAACACAUGCAAGUCGAGGGGCAGCAUGGUCUUAGCUUGCUAAGGCUGAUGGCGACCGGCGCACGGGUGAGUAACACGUAUCCAACCUGCCGUCUACUCUUGGCCAGCCUUCUGAAAGGAAGAUUAAUCCAGGAUGGGAUCAUGAGUUCACAUGUACCGCAUGAUUAAAGGUAUUUUCCGGUAGACGAUGGGGAUGCGUUCCAUUAGAUAGUAGGCGGGGUAACGGCCACCUAGUCAACGAUGGAUAGGGGUUCUGAGAGGAAGGUCCCCCANAUUGGAACUGAGACACGGUCCAAACGUCCUACGGGAGGCA
This 354-nucleotide ribosomal RNA is filed under the name uncultured bacterium. RNAcentral's name for it is "bacterial SSU rRNA". It matches the Rfam family "Bacterial small subunit ribosomal RNA", at positions 8 to 350 of the family's 1533-position model. The record is from RNAcentral.